UCCGGCUUAACGCCGGCGGUCUCUCUAGAGUGCCCAACUGAAUGAUGGCAACUAAAGAUAAGGGUUGCGCUCGUUAAGGGACUUAACCCGACAUCUCACGAUACGAGCUGACGACAGCCAUGCAGCACCUGAACCGCAUGUCCCCGAAGGGAAAAGGAUAUCUCUACCCCUGUCAUGCGUUGUCUAACCCAGGUAAGGUUCUUCGCGUUGCAUCGAAUUAAACCACAUGCUCCACCGCUUGUGCGGGCCCCCGUCAAUUCCUUUGAGUUUUAACCUUGCGGCCGUACUUCCCAGGCGGGGUACUUAAUGCGUUAGCGUCGGCACUGCAGGGGUCAAUUCCCGCAACACCUAGUACCCAUCGUUUACAGCGUGGACUAC
Molecule: unclassified non-coding RNA, 378 nt
Filed under: uncultured Oligoflexales bacterium
Lineage: Bacteria; Pseudomonadati; Bdellovibrionota; Oligoflexia; Oligoflexales
Description: contains 16S-23S intergenic spacer region
Source: RNAcentral